GGGGGAGGGGGGAUUAAAAAAAAAAAAACAUUUGUUUUGUUCUUAAAUCCGUUAGCCUUAAAUUCCAUUUUGGGUUUGGAAUUUUGUUUCUUUCUUUCUUUUAAUUUUUUUCAAGAAGUCUUGGAGAAGAUCAUGCACAACUCACCUUAAAGCGCUCAAAGCAAGAAUAAAAGAUUUUGGCAUCAACUCAACUCUUGCUAUUCGUAAUGACUCCGUGAUACGAGAAAAGAAAAGCACCAGACUUUUUGAAGCAUUAUCUAAUUGUCCGUUUUCUUGUGUUCUUUGCACAUCAGAGGAAAGACCUAGAAAACUAUAACUGGUAGCAAAAAUAUACCAACUAAAUUAAGUAUUAUAAUACUGAAACACACCCAACUAAAAGGAAAGAAAAUCUAGAGCAAGGUAAAAACUUACUGAGCUGAAAUUAGCUAAGAAUUUUUCCAUUACAGGAACAAAUUGAUGACAAGUUUUGCUCUCUGAAGAGAGGUUGAGCAGAAGAGAGAGCAAAUGGAGAAAGAAGGAGAGGAAAGGAAAAGAUGGAAAGAGAGAUUUGAGUUGUGAAGGGUUAAAAUGAUAGAGAAAGCCGGGGUAGAGUUGAGGAGGCUACCUAUGAAGAAUGGGUAGUUCAAGAAACAUUUUGUACAGGUACCGGGUACCAAUAGUUUCUAUGGUACUUCAGUACCGUACUGGGCAUGCCAAAAUAUGUACCAGAUUUUUUUUCUUAGUCGGACCCUAGUGGUACCCAGUACACUCUCAAGUUGUACUCCAACCAGAGUAAUAUGUUUACAAAGAGAUGAAGUUAUGUUGAUGGGACUUUUCUCUUCACCUUAGAAUCCC
This 834-nucleotide long non-coding RNA is filed under the name Actinidia chinensis (golden kiwifruit). RNAcentral's name for it is "long non-coding RNA (ACHI_LNC007412)". The record is from RNAcentral. Lineage: Eukaryota; Viridiplantae; Streptophyta; Magnoliopsida; Ericales; Actinidiaceae.